RNAcentral lists this ribosomal RNA (200 nucleotides) under Clostridioides difficile. Its description in RNAcentral is "partial 23S ribosomal RNA". It matches the Rfam family "Bacterial large subunit ribosomal RNA", at positions 1613 to 1826 of the family's 2925-position model. The record is from RNAcentral. Lineage: Bacteria; Bacillati; Bacillota; Clostridia; Peptostreptococcales; Peptostreptococcaceae.
AAAAGUCUCUAUCGAGGUUAAAGGUACCCGUACCGCAAACCGACACAGGUGGGUGAGGAGAGUAUCCUAAGGUCAGCGAGAGAACUGUUGUUAAGGAACUCGGCAAAAUGACCCCGUAACUUAGGGAGAAGGGGUGCCACCAUCAGGUGGCCGCAGAGAAUAGGCCCAAGCGACUGUUUACCAAAAACAUAGGUUUCUGC